AUGCUUGCUUUGGCAGCACAUAAACUAAUAUUGGAAUGAUUCAGAGAUUAGUGUGGCCCCUGCACAAGGAUGGCACACAUAAGAACUUUGGAGACUAUUGUAACAAUUUU
Molecule: small nuclear RNA, 110 nt
Organism: Sorex araneus (European shrew)
Lineage: Eukaryota; Metazoa; Chordata; Mammalia; Eulipotyphla; Soricidae
Source: Ensembl